GGAGGAGCCACAUGAGCCUCUGACCUUCAGCAGGCUCCAUCACCAUGGGGUUUGCACUGAUCUGGGCUUCCCUUCUCCUCCUUGUCAAAGGUGUCCUGUGUGAUGUUCAGCUGGUGGAGUCAGGGGGAGAUGUGAGACAGCCUGGGGGUUCUCUGAGCCUUUCCUGCAAAGCCUCUGGAUUCACCUUCACUGAUUAUGCAAUGAACUGGGUCCGCCAGGCUCCAGGACAGGGGCUGGAGUGGGUGGCAGGAGUGAGUAAACCAACGGGAAAAGAGCAGUGGUACUCUCCAUCAGUUAAAGGGAGAUUCACCAUCUCCAGAGACAACCCUACAAGCACAGUCUCACUGAAAAUGACAAACCUGAAAGUAGAGGACAUGGCCAUGUAUUGCUGUGUGAGAGACAUAGUGAGAGGAAGUCUGGGUGAGCCCAGACACAAACCUCCCUUGCAGGGCACAGGAGGGGCUGGGCUGCAGGGGGCACUCAGAACAACAGGGGGAACGCAGGGACCAUACCCAGGGGCAGGUGCAGAGAGGGGCUGUGAGAAUUCUGGCCUUGCCUGGGGUUCCUUCUUCUUGCUCCACAGCACGUAA
This is a non-coding RNA of Choloepus didactylus (southern two-toed sloth), 590 nucleotides long. Lineage: Eukaryota; Metazoa; Chordata; Mammalia; Pilosa; Megalonychidae. The record is from the annotation of a RefSeq genome assembly.